Molecule: non-coding RNA, 87 nt
Organism: Acanthosepion pharaonis
Lineage: Eukaryota; Metazoa; Mollusca; Cephalopoda; Sepiida; Sepiidae
Source: the annotation of a GenBank genome assembly
GGUUCUCAUAUGAUCACAAAAGUUAAGCAACAUUGAGCCUGGUCAGUACCUAGAUGGGUGACCAUUUGGUAAUACCAGGUGAUGUAA